Molecule: long non-coding RNA, 581 nt
Filed under: Capsella grandiflora
Lineage: Eukaryota; Viridiplantae; Streptophyta; Magnoliopsida; Brassicales; Brassicaceae
Description: long non-coding RNA (CGRA_LNC001057)
Source: RNAcentral
GGGCAAUCCACAUCAACAUCUGCUAUCAACCGCACGUACCACGUGUGCUGAUCGUCGUGCAACUUGCAGAUGCUUUUAUUCCAAAAUACCAAUGUAAAACCUGUACAGACGCACGUAGCCAAUUAAAUUAAAAAUCCCAUCCCAACAAUGUUGGUGACAGAAACACCAUAUCGCACAGACCAAUCUUCUUAUUACCCUUUUUUCCCAUUUGCCUGCUCUCUCUGAACGUUCACAUACCCAAACGUCACAGUCAGUUAACUCUAUCAAUAUCAAUCUUACACGACACGACGUCGUUAAAAGAAGACGGAUCUCUUUAACUGUACCAAUCUUUCAUCUUCUUCCUUCCUCCUUUGCCUAUCUAUCAUAUCUAUAAAAUCAAACUUCUCAGUUUAUUAAAAAAAAACCAACUUUGAAGGACAAAAAAAAAAAACUCAGAGCUCACUCACUCUCUCUCUCAGAACCCUAGCAUGGGAUUUCCCGUAGGAUACACAGAGGUUUUCUUACCGAAGCUAUUCGUACAAACGCUUUCGAUUCUAGGUUUCAUCAGAACCGUCGUCUUCUCCAUCUUCCGCUUCUUGGGU